CAACAGGUAUAGCAUUACUGCAUGUUAAAAUUCCUCUAUGCAUUUGUGUGUGUGUGGUAAUUUUUUCGCUCUAGCCUGGCAGGUUCGUAAGGCGUUACGCACCCCGGCAACCUCGGCGGCAUCCUCCGCACCUCUUUCAUCUCCCAUAAUGCCCCUCUCUGAUCCUCUGCCUGCUAAUGUUCACGGGAGGGGCUGUCAGCCACGGCUUAUUAGAGCAACCGUGUAUGUGUGUGUGUGUCGGGAGGGAGGGACUCGGUUUAAACUCCAGAGAUCGGCCAAUUAAUUUCUUCAUUCAUGUCUGAUUGCUUUGCGCCAGCGUAACAUACAAUUAUUGUAUUUGCCACUCAGGAGUAGCACUCCAUGCCCUGGACACACACACACACACACACACACACACACACUUAUCCAUACAACGACAUUUUAAGUAGUUUGGCUUUCUACUGACUCUUGCACUAAAACGAACAUGAAUGCAAGCCCUCUCUUUCGUUUCUUUUUAUUUAUAUUUUACAGAUCUUCAUAUAGAGUUUAAAGACUGGAUUCUGGUCUUAUCGUGUUCACGGUAAAUCCAUGAAUAACGCUGUUUUGCGUCAAAAUCCUGAAGCAUCCACCAACAUGAGGCAAGUUACGGGCAGGUCAUAGUAAAGGUCAACAUGCCAGGGAUGGAAAGGGACAGCUUCUGUUGCCGUGGGGAUGGUCCAGACAUGUUAUCAGCGUGUGGAAGCCGUCAAUACAUGCAAGACCUCUGUGAACGAAAGGACUCACGGACAGCCGGAAGUGUUCGGGAUACCUGUUUGGAAAGGUGCCUCUGGUUGCAAUGCAAGCAAUGACUCACUUCACCUUAAAAUUCUCUCUCUCCCUUUUUCUCUCUCUCUCUCUUUCAUUACAUUCAGUCCAUUCCAAACCUCUCAGACAGCUUCGCGUUCUGCCAUUUUUCUAUUUCUGAUUCUCUGGAUAACCCCCGUCUUCCUCUCCUAAUCGUUGCGCUCUUUAUUUCGUUUCUGUCUCUCUCGCUCAAAUUACACCCAUUACGACCCACUCCAGCUCGUGCUCUCUGUCUCUCUCUCUCUCUCUCUCUCUCUCUCUCUCUCUCUCUUUCUCUAUCCCUCCCACUCUUCACCUCACUGCAGCAAACACGCACACACACGUUCAGCGCAGCUUUUCAAGAAAGGCAUCUAUUUGUCAGCGUCUAUGCGGAGAGCUGAGACUGCUGGAGGCCUUCGUUUAUAAAACGCAUAAAUAUCUGUUAUUCUCCGAGUUUGUGCGCGCGUGUGUGUGUGUGUGUGACGAUGAGUGCCAUUUCACCUUAAAAUUAAAGAAAAGUAGAGAUUGUAUUUGACAUAUUGAAAGUGAAGCCAGUUUAUUGCAUUGACAUUUUUAUGAGAAUCGCACAGCCCUGCUCCCAAAUUCUUGUAAUUUCCUCAUUUCCAAUAUUGAUUAUGCUUUAUUAUAUAAUUGAAGAAAAUGACUGUAAAUACUGCAAAUUACCGUAAUACAGUUUUAAAUGCUAUAACUACAUAUUUUUAGUCUGUGGUCCCAAAUCUUCUGUUUUUGGAUGUCAGAUAUGAUGCUGACAUCUUCAUGGCAUUUCCUGAGAACGUUCACGAGAUUCACGUACUGUGAGAAUCCACCGACUUUGCGUGUGAUAAAGACGGCGAGAGAAAACUUUCGAGUGUGCGCUUGAGAAAAGAGAGCGAGGGAGAUGAAUUGCGAGCGUUGAAAAGCUUUCAGCAGUCUGCUUCCAUUAAGCCGCGUCGCCGUGCGCCAAUUAAGCCGCAAAAGGAACGUGAAAAAAGAACGGGAAUAAUGAUGGAGCGAGAGAGCAAAAUGGAUCGGCGGUGUCUUUGUCCUGAGUUAACCGAAUUAAAGAUCGACAAUUAAGAGGGAGACCGACAGACGGACAGCAGAGACAGGCGUCACACUGCAACCCCUCCGACAUUAGCCAUCAUCACAUACAGAUACACAAAGACACAUCGAGUUACCACUCAGUUGGUUCAUUAGUAGUUUUAAAAUGAUACAUUGCAACCCAUGUCUGUUCUGGACUAAAUUAAAUCUACACUUUUAGAUAAUAAAGAUCCUUUAAAAGUUUAUUUUCUUGUCUCCUUAGGUGAAUGCAGAGAGUAUGAAAUUAUGGAAAUUCAAGAGACAUUUGUGACCCUCAACCACAAAACCAGUCAUAAGGGUCUUUUUUUAGAUUUAUACAUCAUCAAUAAAUAAUCUUUCCAUUGAUGUAUGGUUUGUUAUUAUAGGACAGAGAUAGAACUAUUUGAAAUCUGGAAUUUGAGGGUGCAAAAAAUAUAUAACUAAAUAUAGAGAAAUAUAGAGAAAAUCGUCUUUAAAGUUGUCCAAAUGAAGUCCUUAGCAACACAUGAAUAAUGAUAAAUACAUUUUUUAUAUUUAUGGUAGGA
Misgurnus anguillicaudatus (oriental weatherfish) is the source of this 2405-nucleotide non-coding RNA. The record is from RefSeq and is a predicted model, not a curated record. NCBI's taxonomy places the organism in Eukaryota, Metazoa, Chordata, Actinopteri, Cypriniformes, Cobitidae.